GUAGGUGGCAAGCGUUGUCCGGAAUUAUUGGGCGUAAAGCGCGCGCAGGCGGUUCUUUAAGUCUGAUGUGAAAGCCCACGGCUCAACCGUGGAGGGUCAUUGGAAACUGGAGAACUUGAGUACAGAAGAGGAAAGCGGAAAUCCACGUGUAGCGGUGAAAUGCGUUGAGAUGUGGAGGAACACCAGUGGCGAAGGCGGCUUUCUGGUCUGUAACUGACGCUGAGGCGCGAAAGCGUGGGGAGCAAACAGGGAUUAGAUACCCUGGUAGUCCACGCCGUAAACGAUGAGUGCUAAGUGUUAGGGGGUUUCCGCCCCCUUAGUGCUGCAGCUAACGCAUUAAGCACUCCGCCUGGGGAGUACGGCCGCAAGGCUG
RNAcentral lists this ribosomal RNA (373 nucleotides) under uncultured organism. RNAcentral's name for it is "partial 16S ribosomal RNA". It matches the Rfam family "Bacterial small subunit ribosomal RNA", at positions 527 to 896 of the family's 1533-position model. The record is from RNAcentral.